GCCGAAGUGGCGGAAUUGGUAGACGCGCUAGGUUCAGGGUCUAGUAGGUGUACGCCUGUGAUGGUUCAAAUCCAUUCUUCGGCACCA
This 87-nucleotide transfer RNA is filed under the name Deltaproteobacteria bacterium HGW-Deltaproteobacteria-6. RNAcentral describes it as "tRNA-Leu". It matches the Rfam family "tRNA". From Rfam's summary of the family: Transfer RNA (tRNA) molecules are approximately 80 nucleotides in length. RNAcentral also lists the same sequence under 2 other names. Lineage: Bacteria; Deltaproteobacteria. The record is from RNAcentral.